This 224-nucleotide long non-coding RNA is filed under the name Mytilus galloprovincialis (Mediterranean mussel). Lineage: Eukaryota; Metazoa; Mollusca; Bivalvia; Mytilida; Mytilidae. The record is from RNAcentral.
CCCCCAUUUUACAAAAAGUUCUGGAUCUGCUCCUGACUAUAGGUGCUGAACGUUAUGUUACAUGUAUAUUAAAAUUGAUACAUUUUUUAGGCCAGAAUGGCACACCCCUACCAUAAAAAUAUUGAGGUAUCAUUUAGUAUCAAUGGGAUCUAUAAAUAUAUCCCCUAGAUGAGAAAAGACCUAAUUGUUCUUCUUAUAUUCUUUUUUUUUCUUCUUAACAUCUU